GACGAACGCUGGCGGCGUGCUUAACACAUGCAAGUCGAACGGAAAGGCCCUGCUUUUGUAGGGUGCUCGAGUGGCGAACGGGUGAGUAACACGUGAGUAACCUGCCCUUGACUUUGGGAUAACUUCAGGAAACUGGGGCUAAUACCGGAUAGGAGCUCCUGCUGCAUGGUGGGGGUUGGAAAGUUUCGGCGGUUGGGGAUGGACUCGCGGCUUAUCAGCUUGUUGGUGGGGUAGUGGCUUACCAAGGCUUUGACGGGUAGCCGGCCUGAGAGGGUGACCGGCCACAUUGGGACUGAGAUACGGCCCAGACUCCUACGGGAGGCAGCAGUGGGGAAUAUUGCACAAUGGGCGGAAGCCUGAUGCAGCAACGCCGCGUGCGGGAUGACGGCCUUCGGGUUGUAAACCGCUUUCGCCUGUGACGAAGCGUGAGUGACGGUAAUGGGUAAAGAAGCACCGGCUAACUACG
RNAcentral lists this ribosomal RNA (466 nucleotides) under uncultured bacterium. Its description in RNAcentral is "partial 16S ribosomal RNA". It matches the Rfam family "Bacterial small subunit ribosomal RNA", at positions 28 to 505 of the family's 1533-position model. The record is from RNAcentral.